AAUAAUAUGCCUGAUAAAAGGAUUGUUAUGAUAUAACAAAUAAUGCAUAAAAAGCUAUUAUUU
This 63-nucleotide transfer RNA is filed under the name Symphylella sp. YG-2006. RNAcentral describes it as "tRNA-Ile". The record is from RNAcentral. Lineage: Eukaryota; Metazoa; Arthropoda; Symphyla; Scolopendrellidae.